UGGGAUGACGUCAAGUCAGCAUGGCCUUUAUAUCCUGGGCUACACACACGCUACAAUGGUCGGUACAAUAGGUUGCCAAGCCGCGAGGCGGAGCCAAUCCAAAAAGCCGGCCUCAGUUCAGAUUGUAGGCUGCAACUCGCCUGCAUGAAGAUGGAGUUGCUAGUAACCGCAGGUCAGCAAUACUGCGGUGAAUACGUUCCCGGGUCUU
This 208-nucleotide ribosomal RNA is filed under the name uncultured Anaerolineaceae bacterium. RNAcentral describes it as "partial 16S ribosomal RNA". It matches the Rfam family "Bacterial small subunit ribosomal RNA", at positions 1175 to 1382 of the family's 1533-position model. The record is from RNAcentral. Lineage: Bacteria; Bacillati; Chloroflexota; Anaerolineae; Anaerolineales; Anaerolineaceae.